This 22-nucleotide small nuclear RNA is filed under the name Arabidopsis thaliana (thale cress). Its description in RNAcentral is "snRNA_05871". Lineage: Eukaryota; Viridiplantae; Streptophyta; Magnoliopsida; Brassicales; Brassicaceae. The record is from RNAcentral.
GGGUAAAGCCAAUGAUUAGAGG